UAACCGCAGUACUGCAUUUCCCUCAUUCUUGGCAUUUGGCAACUCUGCAGCGAACAGCUGGCGCCAUUUAUUUACUAUCUUCUGAUAAGCACCACAGUGGAAGUUUUAGUUUUGUUAUCACGUUUCUUUUGGCUUUCUUAUCUUUUACAGCGGUGUAGUGUUUUCAACAAAACCGAUAAGAAUUGUGUAGGCGGUGCGUUCGUUUAAAAUCUCCAGCAGAAACCAACCAACU
This 232-nucleotide unclassified non-coding RNA is filed under the name Rhagoletis pomonella (apple maggot). RNAcentral's name for it is "uncharacterized LOC118744682, transcript variant X5". Lineage: Eukaryota; Metazoa; Arthropoda; Insecta; Diptera; Tephritidae. The record is from RNAcentral.